This 490-nucleotide ribosomal RNA is filed under the name uncultured bacterium. Its description in RNAcentral is "partial 16S ribosomal RNA". It matches the Rfam family "Bacterial small subunit ribosomal RNA", at positions 30 to 507 of the family's 1533-position model. The record is from RNAcentral.
AUUGAACGCUGGCGGCAGGCCUAACACAUGCAAGUCGAACGGUAACACGAAGAAGCUUGCUUCUUUGCUGACGAGUGGCGGACGGGUGAGUAAUGUCUGGGAAACUGCCUGAUGGAGGGGGAUAACUACUGGAAACGGUAGCUAAUACCGCAUAACGUCGCAAGACCAAAGAGGGGGACCUUCGGGCCUCUUGCCAUCGGAUGUGCCCAGAUGGGAUUAGCUAGUAGGUGGGGUAACGGCUCACCUAGGCGACGAUCCCUUGCUGGUCUGAGAGGAUGACCAGCCACACUGGAACUGAGACACGGUCCAGACUCCUACGGGAGGCAGCAGUGGGGAAUAUUGCACAAUGGGCGCAAGCCUGAUGCAGCCAUGCCGCGUGUAUGAAGAAGGCCUUCGGGUUGUAAAGUACUUUCAGCGGGGAGGAAGGGAGUAAAGUUAAUACCUUUGCUCAGUGACGUUACCCGCAGAAGAAGCACCGGCUAACUCCGUG